Molecule: ribosomal RNA, 497 nt
Filed under: uncultured bacterium
Lineage: Bacteria
Description: partial 16S ribosomal RNA
Rfam family: Bacterial small subunit ribosomal RNA
Source: RNAcentral
GAUGAACGCUGGCGGCGUGCCUAAUACAUGCAAGUCGAGCGAACAGACGAGGAGCUUGCUCCUCUGACGUUAGCUGCGGACGGGUGAGUAACACGUGGAUACCCUACCUAUCUGCCUGGGAUACCUUCGGGAAACCGUCUCUUAUACCGUAUAAUCUAUUCAACCGCAUGUUUCAAUAGUGAAAGCCGUUUUUGCUGUCACUUCUACCUGUAUCCUCGCCGCAUUAGCUAGUUGGUAAGGUAACGGCUUACCAAGGCCACGAUGCGUAGCCGACCUGAGAGGGUGAUAGGCGACACUGGAAGGGAGACACGGACAAGACGACUAAGGGAGGCAGCAGUAGGGAAUCUUACGCAACAGGCGAAAGCAUGACGGAGCAAGGCGGCGCGAGAUAUGAAGGUGUUCGGAUCGGAAAACUGGGUUACGAGGGAAGAACAAAUGUGUAAGUAAACAUGCACGUUCUGACGGUAGAUAAACAGAAAGCAACGGCUAACUACGUG